ACGCUGAAGUUGUUUACGCCUCA
RNAcentral lists this non-coding RNA (23 nucleotides) under Arabidopsis thaliana (thale cress). Lineage: Eukaryota; Viridiplantae; Streptophyta; Magnoliopsida; Brassicales; Brassicaceae. The record is from RNAcentral.